RNAcentral lists this ribosomal RNA (495 nucleotides) under uncultured bacterium. RNAcentral describes it as "partial 16S ribosomal RNA". It matches the Rfam family "Bacterial small subunit ribosomal RNA", at positions 28 to 507 of the family's 1533-position model. The record is from RNAcentral.
GACGAACGCUGGCGGCGUGCCUAAUACAUGUAAGUAGAACGCUGAAGGAGGAGCUUGCUUCUCUGGAUGAGUUUCGAACGGGUGAGUAACGCGUAGGUAACCUGACUGGUAGCGGGGGAGAACUAUUGGAAACGAUAGCUAAUACCGCAUAAUAGUAGAUGUUGCAUGACAUUUGCUUAAAAGUUGCAAUUGCGUCACUACCAGAUUGACCUGCGUUGGAUUAGCUAGUUGGGGGGGUAACGGCUCACCAAGGCGACGAUACAUAGCCGACCGGAGAGGAUGAUCGGCAGCUCUGGGAAGAGGACACGGCCCAGAAUCCUACGGGAGGCAGCAGUAGGGAACCUUCGGCAAGGGACGGAAGGCUGACCGAGGCACGCCGCGAGAGGGAAGAAGGGUUUCGGAUCGUAAAGCUCGGUUGUAAGAGAAGAACGAGCGUGAGAGUGGAAAGUUCACACUGUGACGGUAUCUGACCAGAAAGGGACGGCUAACUACGUG